GGGCUUGUGGUGAAAUUGGUAGACGCGCUAGAUUUAGAAUCUAGUACCCGUAACGGGUGUGUGGGUUCGAAUCCCACCAAGCCCACCA
This 88-nucleotide transfer RNA is filed under the name Acidobacteriota bacterium. RNAcentral describes it as "Acidobacteria bacterium tRNA-Leu". It matches the Rfam family "tRNA". Rfam says of the family: Transfer RNA (tRNA) molecules are approximately 80 nucleotides in length. Their secondary structure includes four short double-helical elements and three loops (D, anti-codon, and T loops). The record is from RNAcentral. Lineage: Bacteria; Pseudomonadati; Acidobacteriota.